GAGCGGCAGCACGGGUACUUGUACCUGGUGGCGAGCGGCGGACGGGUGAGUAAUGCCUAGGAAUCUGCCUGGUAGUGGGGGAUAACGCUCGGAAACGGACGCUAAUACCGCAUACGUCCUACGGGAGAAAGCAGGGGACCUUCGGGCCUUGCGCUAUCAGAUGAGCCUAGGUCGGAUUAGCUAGUUGGUGAGGUAAUGGCUCACCAAGGCGACGAUCCGUAACUGGUCUGAGAGGAUGAUCAGUCACACUGGAACUGAGACACGGUCCAGACUCCUACGGGAGGCAGCAGUGGGGAAUAUUGGACAAUGGGCGAAAGCCUGAUCCAGCCAUGCCGCGUGUGUGAAGAAGGUCUUCGGAUUGUAAAGCACUUUAAGUUGGGAGGAAGGGCAGUUACCUAAUACGUAUCUGUUUUGACGUUACCGACAGAAUAAGCAC
This 436-nucleotide ribosomal RNA is filed under the name uncultured bacterium. Its description in RNAcentral is "bacterial SSU rRNA". It matches the Rfam family "Bacterial small subunit ribosomal RNA", at positions 64 to 493 of the family's 1533-position model. The record is from RNAcentral.